Beta vulgaris subsp. vulgaris (sugar beet) is the source of this 2549-nucleotide long non-coding RNA. RefSeq lists it as uncharacterized. The record is from RefSeq and is a predicted model, not a curated record. Lineage: Eukaryota; Viridiplantae; Streptophyta; Magnoliopsida; Caryophyllales; Amaranthaceae. The transcript has 3 exons.
GGAAAUGUUCGUGGAAAAGUUGAGGAAUAAGUUCUUUCCUCCAGCAUUGAGAAGGAAAAAAGAGAAUGAAUUCUUGUUCUUGAGGCAAGGGCAGAUGACGGUAGUAGAAUAUGCUGCCAAAUUUAUGGAACUCGCGCGGUUCGCUCCAGACUUUACAAACAGCACCAGGUAUCUUCUCUAGGUGCAAGUGUGCAACGUGGUUUAGAAGUUCAUAUUUUCUCAAUCUCGCUAAGCCUAAAGCGAAACCUCCAAUCCUCCAUCACCAAAACCUAAAAUGAAACCAGUAAACCACUUCUUUCGAUAAUCGAAAUUCUACUAACUCCAUUAGCGAAUUCUUCUUUCUCGUCAAAAUUCCACCUAAUUACCCUCAAAUUCAAUCCAGGCCAAUUUGCAAUUGAGAAAUUUGAAUUCGUCGUUCCCAAUUGUCAACUCCUUCACCGGUGACAACCACAUUUUUCUAGUUCUUCCGCUUGCUUAAACACCGACGGUCGUCGCGCUUCCCUAUCUUAGGACUUAAGGUAGAGGAUGCCACAAGUAUUUUGGGAAUAUGAAACAGAACAAUUUAAAUAUCCAUGAAUAUUGAAGCUUCAACUCUUUUCCACUAUGCAUUCCUUUCUUACUUCCCUAGAACCAGGGCGUGAAGGGAUCUCUUUCAUAGAUCAGAUUGUCUUGUUGUGCAGUUUUUGGCUUUCUGAAUGAAGUAAUAUUUGAACCUUGGAUGAUUCAACCAAGUAGUUUUUUUGUACAGGUUCAUAAAAACUUGGGAACCUUCUCUUAUUUAAUGUCACAAAUUUUCUUGUUCAAGAGAAGAUAGUAUGAUGUUGUGCAUGUCAAAAGAAAAGAACUUUUUCACAUUUCCAAGGGUAUCUGAGGAGAUAAGAUGAUGGAGAUUGAAGAUGACUGUCAAGUUUGAAUUGUACUUAUUACUUAAUUAUUUGUUUUGGUAGAUAGCAUUUUAGAUCAUAGAAACUUUAUUUUUAAGACAUGUUUAGUUUUUGGUUAUAAAUUAAAUUUGUAGCAAUAUGUUUUUGACAUGAUGAAUAAAGCAGGAUGAGAGCCAAAUCCUAUAGAACUUUUUCCUUCCCUUUUUUGUAGUUGUGACUUUUAUAUAAAUUUUUUAAAACAAAAAAAGAACUUUUUCCUUCCCCUCCUGCUUCGCCUCCACUCUCUUUUUCCCUCCCCCACCCAUGGCCCCUGCCAUCUUUCUUCCUCACCCUCCCCUUUCCCAUCGUAGACGACCCCUCUCCACUCUCCCACAAAAAAAAACCUUUAACAGUGCUACCACCCGAACCAACUACCACCGAUACCAUCAACAAGUUUGAUAUCUUCAACAACAACAAACUUAUCACUAGCAGCCUUAACCACAUUCUCUCUCAACAACGCACCACCACACCUCGUCACAAGAUUAAGAUCAGGAUAAAUCUCAUCAGUGCCAUCAAUGGUGAGGUCAAUACGAGGGUGACCAUUGAGGACAAAGAGAUGAAUACCAAGCGAAGCAACUUGCUCUUGAGAGCGCUUAGAAGUCAAAAUUUUGAUGAUAUUUGCGAAUUCUGACGAUGAUAGAAGCUCGUCGACUUGUGCGAUGUCACAUGUGGCGGUGAUGUAGGUUCCUAGGUCGAGAACCACGCCGAGUUUUGUGGUGGUGUGGCAGUUGAAGGUGGAAAAAUGAGUGAAAGGGAGGAAAGAGAAAGUGGCGGGAGCUAUUGGAGAGAGAAAAUGGAAGCAGGUGUGAGCAGUUCCAACGGAGGAGGUGAAGGAGGAGACACUAGUGGAAAAAAGGUUAAAUGACACAAUGAAACUAAUCCGGGUUCUCAAAAAACAGGAUCAGUUUUGUAUUAACUGAUUCGGUUAUUAGGAGAACCGGGUCAAUUUUUUAUUACUUGAUCCGGUUCGUCGCAAUCGGAUCCAUUAAUAAACAAAAUGGCAAGCUGAAAAUGGUAGGCCCAACACAUUCAACACAUAAAAAUACAAACUUUCAUAUCCCAGCAGAAAUUUGACGCAGAUGUAUGCGAUUGCUGCGACUUUUUCACUGGACCAAAUAUGCUCAAAUUUUAACACAAUAUAGAUCUCUUUGUUAGCUUUCCAAUGAACCAAGAAAAUCUCAAUUCUGACUUGUAACGGAGGCACACGAACAGAUUUACCGAACUGGUAGCAGAACAGAACGCAGACGAAGGUGUGCGUGGGUGUAAUAUAGUAGUAGGCGGUGGUUGGGCAGCAGUCACACCACUUGAUGUGAUUCUUUAUGUAAGAUUCACUAGGUUAGGGCUCUUUUAUGUAGCUUAGUGGCUUUUGAUUAUGAAAGUUUGUAUUUUUAUGUAUUUUUAUUUAGUAAGUAACUGGAUAUGGAGAACUCAGGCGUAUUUCGGCUCACAGUUCAACUAGGGUUUUUGGAUUCACUCCUGAAACAAGGUGGAUUCUCUCCUGAAACAAUAAUUAACUCAAACUCAACUUAAAUUAUUAUUAUGGCCGAAAAUCCUUUAUAUAGUACAAGAUUUUCCUAAACCUAUUAUGACUAGUAAAGCUUAAAAGAUAAAUCUAAUCUUAUCUAU